RNAcentral lists this ribosomal RNA (253 nucleotides) under uncultured bacterium. Its description in RNAcentral is "partial 16S ribosomal RNA". It matches the Rfam family "Bacterial small subunit ribosomal RNA", at positions 524 to 776 of the family's 1533-position model. The record is from RNAcentral.
UACGAGAGGCGCAAACGUUAUUCGGAAUUACUGGGCUUAAAGGGUGCGUAGGCGGUGCGGUAAGUGAGGUGUGAAAGCCCUCGGCUCAACCGAGGAAUUGCGCUUCAUACUGCCGUGCUGGAGGGAGACAGAGGUAAGCGGAACUGAUGGUGGAGCGGUGAAAUGCGUUGAUAUCAUCAGGAACACCGGUGGCGAAAGCGGCUUACUGGGUCUCUUCUGACGCUGAGGCACGAAAGCUAGGGUAGCGAACGGG